Molecule: transfer RNA, 72 nt
Filed under: Camelus bactrianus (Bactrian camel)
Lineage: Eukaryota; Metazoa; Chordata; Mammalia; Artiodactyla; Camelidae
Also listed under: 2 other names
Rfam family: tRNA
About the family: Transfer RNA (tRNA) molecules are approximately 80 nucleotides in length. Their secondary structure includes four short double-helical elements and three loops (D, anti-codon, and T loops).
Source: Rfam by way of RNAcentral
GAGGAUAUAGCUCAGUGGUAGAGUACAUGCUUAGCAUGCAUGAGGUCCUGGGUUCAAUCCCCAGUACCUCCA